ACUAUGGCUCAGGCGGUAGAGCGUCGCCUUGGUAAGGCGGAGGUCACGGGUUCGAGUCCCGUUAGU
RNAcentral lists this transfer RNA (66 nucleotides) under bovine gut metagenome. It matches the Rfam family "tRNA". Rfam says of the family: Transfer RNA (tRNA) molecules are approximately 80 nucleotides in length. Their secondary structure includes four short double-helical elements and three loops (D, anti-codon, and T loops). The record is from RNAcentral.